This 301-nucleotide ribosomal RNA is filed under the name uncultured bacterium. Its description in RNAcentral is "partial 16S ribosomal RNA". It matches the Rfam family "Bacterial small subunit ribosomal RNA", at positions 509 to 807 of the family's 1533-position model. The record is from RNAcentral.
CAGUAGCCGCGGUAAUACGUAGGGGGCAAGCGUUAUCCGGAAUUACUGGGUGUAAAGGGAGCGUAGACGGUUAAACAAGUCUGAAGUGAAAUGCCGGGGCUCAACCCCGGAGCUGCUUUGGGAACUGUAGAACUGGAGUGUCGGAGGGGUAAGCGGAAUUCCCAGUGUAGCGGUGAAAUGCGUAGAUAUUGGGAGGAACACCGGCGGCGAAGGCGGCUUACUGGACGACAACUGACGUUGAGGCUCGAAGGCGUGGGUAGCAAACUGGAUUAGAUACCCCAGUAGUCCCUGUCUCUUAUAC